RNAcentral lists this long non-coding RNA (312 nucleotides) under Erythranthe guttata (spotted monkey flower). RNAcentral's name for it is "long non-coding RNA (EGUT_LNC000758)". The record is from RNAcentral. Lineage: Eukaryota; Viridiplantae; Streptophyta; Magnoliopsida; Lamiales; Phrymaceae.
AAAAAAAGUAAAAACAACAAACAAAAGAAGACAAAAUUAUACAUUGCUUUAUAAAAGCAUUUGCUUUAUUAAAGUGUCGUUUUUUGAAAAAGAAGAUUCCCUAAACCAUUAUGAAAGGUGGUAGGGACCCUAACUCAAUUAUUUCUCCAUUCUCUCUUUCCCUUUGGCUGUAGUGGAACUUUGAAUUUGUUCCGUAAUGGAUUGUUUGACAUUAUUGAUGAUAUCAUCAAUUGAAAUAUCUGCUUCGUUUCCAUAUGGAUCUUGUGAUUCACCAGGAUUGCAAUAUUCUUCAUCAUCAUGUGAAGAGGUGGC